This is a long non-coding RNA of Anguilla anguilla (European eel), 213 nucleotides long. RefSeq lists it as uncharacterized. The transcript has 2 exons. The record is from RefSeq and is a predicted model, not a curated record. Lineage: Eukaryota; Metazoa; Chordata; Actinopteri; Anguilliformes; Anguillidae.
GUGGCUGAGAAACGGUGUGGGUUACACCACAAAGAGCUGGUGCUGUACUGCGUGAAGGACGAGGAGACCGUCUGCGUCGACUGUGUAACGCUGCAUAGAGGCCACGAACUGAGUACUCUGGAACAGAGCGCACCUUACUGCAAGGAGGAACUGGACAUUAAAUUGCGUGUCUUGGAAGAGAAAAUGCAAUUCUUUAAAAUAAUUAGUCACAAA